This 2864-nucleotide long non-coding RNA is filed under the name Marmota monax (woodchuck). Lineage: Eukaryota; Metazoa; Chordata; Mammalia; Rodentia; Sciuridae. The record is from RNAcentral.
GGGGUCUCUCUAUGUAUGAUAUUCAGCCCUGCUCUUAUCAAUGAGCACAUCUAUAUCGAGCUGUUUUAAGGAAGGAAGGGAUGGAGUUAAUCAUAAGUUUCCAUUUGAUCAGGUUCUGUAAUGAGGUUUUGGUUAUGGACUUUGUAUUUCUAUGCAUGUUAAUAGACAAAUACACAGGCAAUAAAUAUUGUUAUAAAUAUGAUGAGAUGGACAGAUAGAUACAGAUAGAUAGAUAGAUGGUAAUAGAUACAGAUAUAGAUAGACGGAAGAUGAAUGACGCCUAGCCAUAUUUAUGCAUUCCACAGCCCAACUUCAUUUAAUAGAAGCGUCUGUGCUUUCAGAGCAUUUAAACAUGCAGACACAAGCCACUGCAGUGGAUGCCGGAAGGACAUUGUGUCCCACCUGAAUGCAGGUAAGUCUGGAGUCCAAAGAAGCCCCAGUCAUCUGUGUCCACAGAGGACAGCCAGCUUUGUAUCCUCGGGUGCAGAACUUUGGGCCAAAGAUCUGAGUGUGUUGGGCUUCUCAGAGGUCACUGCAGCUGGAGGCCAAAAUCUCAUUAAACAGUUCUUACCAACUGUCUUAAAAGGCAGGACUCGUGGCCUCCAGCCCUGGGGGAUGCUGUGAUUCUGCACAUUUAUUGACAGAAGCCAGGUAUCUCUGCUGACACCUACCCUGGCUUCCUCAGAUCUCCUAGCCAGCCUCCCCCAGCCCGAAGACACAAGGCUCAACUUCAAGGCUCCUAAAACUGUAAGGGAUGAUGCCAACCUGGGGCUUCCUCAAAGCUGGCUGGCUGUGUGGCUCUCCUGCUCCCGUCCCCAGUAAAGAUCAUGAAGAAGAGGGGAAUGAGAAGGGCAGAAAGGGCAAAUUCCUGAGCCCGUUGAAGAAUUUAGCCAGUGGCUAGCAAAGAGAGGAAAAUGCUUUAGAGGAAGGGGAAUUUAUUCACGGACACCUGUCAGAAGCUGUCAUUCCCUGGCUGAACUAUAGUCUGAAUUUUACUAUGAUAUAAAUCAGUUCCUCCUGGACUUAAUAACUCUUCUUUAUAGGUUUCUUCCCACUCAUAAAUAAAACUCAUUCCAUAUGUAUAUACUGCAAAAGGCCUGCUUGACUUGCAGCACUGUUCAUUGGGAGAGGUAGGUGCCAGCCCACAUUUUGUAAUGGCCAUGGGGCUUUCCAAUGGUUCCACCUUCAGGGAGAGACCUCCCUUCCCUGGGACAACGGGUAUGUCCUCUCAAAGAGCCAGGUGACUUCCAGGAUGGGUCCAAGUGUGGCAGAGCUGGAGGUCACCUUGCUGGAAAGCGGGGUGGGGGUGUCAGGCAGGGCUGCAAUGUGCCUGACCAGUUCUCCUGGCAGAUUUGUGAAGUUGCAGAUUCUGAAGAGAUGGGCCAGCUAACCUCUGCCAGAUCCCAGGGAUGGUCUGGAACGUUCCACUGAUUGGGGAGGCCCUUAUCCACUCCAUUCCUCAAGCUCUCCAUGGAGCAGUGAACUUCAGCACCCUGACUCACAACAACCCCAUCCUGGUUGGAUUUUUGGACACCAGCUCCAUUCUCUUCUAGUGUGGUGAGAGAGCAAACUUAAUUUUUAAAGUUAUGCGCUACAGUAUUCUCGGGGUUUUGUACAUUCUCAGAAAGAGAUAAAUAUUCAAAUUCUAAUUUUAAAAACAUAGUUGGAAAAUGACGAUAGAAACCAUCUUGUCCAAUAUCCACCCAAGGAAGUAAACACCCCCACAUCCACCCCAGCAGAUGGGCACUCGGCCUUCCUAUUUCUCUUAGAAGGAGAAUUAUAAAAGGAUUUAGCUUUUAUUUUAUUUUAAACACAACUCUUAAACUUUAAAGUAAAUCACAAAUAACUUUGUUCAGAUAACAUUCUGAAAUUUUAUUGUCAUUAAGAUCUGCAAGCACUCCAUGAGAAUUCAUAAUUUUAGGAGGAAAUACAUCAAUACAGUAUUUAAUGAUAUGGAUUAUCUGCUUUUGAAAUAUACCAGGUGCUGUAAUUACAAAACUCAAACUAGUAAAAAAAAAACAUUGAAGACAAAUCUGGUAACCUCCUGAGAUAAGAGCUGUGAAAAUCAAAAUCUGUGUUCACAAAACCAAAACUAAAACCAAAACCAAAAAAAAAAAAAAAAAAAAAAAACCACCAGAAAAUAACGUGUUGGCAAGGAUGUGGAGAAAUUGGAACCCUCGUACAUUGAAUCUAAAUAGAUUCAGCUUCUGGGGGAAAAUCUGGCAGUCCCUCAAGUUGUUAAACAUAGAAUUUCCAUAUGCUUCAACGAUCCCACACCUAGGAUCCACCCAAAAGGGUUGACAACAGGGACUCAGACAAAUACAUCUACACACACCUUCACAGCGGUGAUGCUUGCAAUCAAGAAAAGGUGGAAAUAGCCCAAAUGUCCAUCAGCAGAGAGAUGGGUAAACAAGAGAGGGUAUGUGAGUACCCUGAAAUGUUUUCAUUCCAGAAAUGAAGGGAGAAGUGCAGAACCGAGACAUGUUACGAUGUGGAUGGAGGGAAAACAUCAUGAGAAGUGAAAGAAGCCAGACACAACAGCUCAUGUAUUAUAUAAUCCCAUUUAUAGGAAAUGUCGAGAACAGGUAAAUCCAUAAGGUCAGAAAGCAAAGCAAUGGUUCCCAGGGGCUGGAGCAAUGGGAGAAUGAGAAGUGAUCGCUUGAUGUGUACAGAGCCUCUUUUGGAAUAAUAAAAGUAUUCGUGAGCUAAAGUAGAGGUGGGGGUGAGCAGCCCUGGGAAAGUCCAGAAUGAAAUGUAUAAUCUUAUGUUUUGUGAACCUCUCCUUAAUACAAAGAAUGUAAAAACAAGCACACACACAAAAAUGAUCUAUGAAGCCAGAUAUGGGGGCGCAUGUCUGUAAUCCC